RNAcentral lists this ribosomal RNA (416 nucleotides) under uncultured Sphingomonas sp. Its description in RNAcentral is "bacterial SSU rRNA". It matches the Rfam family "Bacterial small subunit ribosomal RNA", at positions 349 to 782 of the family's 1533-position model. The record is from RNAcentral. Lineage: Bacteria; Pseudomonadati; Pseudomonadota; Alphaproteobacteria; Sphingomonadales; Sphingomonadaceae.
CAGCAGUGGGGAAUAUUGGACAAUGGGCGAAAGCCUGAUCCAGCAAUGCCGCGUGAGUGAUGAAGGCCUUAGGGUUGUAAAGCUCUUUUACCCGGGAAGAUAAUGACUGUACCGGGAGAAUAAGCCCCGGCUAACUCCGUGCCAGCAGCCGCGGUAAUACGGAGGGGGCUAGCGUUGUUCGGAAUUACUGGGCGUAAAGCGCACGUAGGCGGCUUUGUAAGUUAGAGGUGAAAGCCCGGGGCUCAACUCCGGAAUUGCCUUUAAGACUGCAUCGCUAGAAUUGUGGAGAGGUAAGUGGAAUUCCGAGUGUAGAGGUGAAAUUCGUAGAUAUUCGGAAGAACACCAGUGGCGAAGGCGACUUACUGGACACAUAUUGACGCUGAGGUGCGAAAGCGUGGGGAGCAAACAGGAUUAGA